Molecule: ribosomal RNA, 332 nt
Filed under: Bohepilissus subtilis
Lineage: Eukaryota; Metazoa; Arthropoda; Insecta; Coleoptera; Scarabaeidae
Also listed under: 1 other name
Description: eukaryotic LSU rRNA
Rfam family: Eukaryotic large subunit ribosomal RNA
Source: RNAcentral
GAAACACGGACCAAGGAGUCUAGCAUGUGCGCGAGUCAUUGGGACUCUGUUAAACCUAAAGGCGCAAUGAAAGUAAAGGUCCGCCUCGCGCGGACCGAGGGAGGAUGGGCCCGUCCACGGGCGGGCCCCGCACUCCCGGGGCGUCUCGUUCUCAUCGCGAGAAGAGGCGCACCCAGAGCGUACACGCUGGGACCCGAAAGAUGGUGAACUAUGCCUGGUCAGGACGAAGUCAGGGGAAACCCUGAUGGAGGUCCGUAGCGAUUCUGACGUGCAAAUCGAUCGUCGGAACUGGGUAUAGCGGCGAUAGACUAAUCGAACCUUCUAGUAGCUGG